Arvicola amphibius (Eurasian water vole) is the source of this 1149-nucleotide long non-coding RNA. RefSeq lists it as uncharacterized. NCBI's taxonomy places the organism in Eukaryota, Metazoa, Chordata, Mammalia, Rodentia, Cricetidae. The transcript is spliced from 3 exons. The record is from RefSeq and is a predicted model, not a curated record.
CAGAUCAGACAGAGCAGUCUCCACUCACAGCUUCAGUCACCUAAGGUCAGCUGUGGCCAGGAAACAGUAAAUGGAAAAUUCCAGAAAUCAUUCGAUAUUGACACCACACACUGCUACUUCUUGGUCACUUAUUCGUCAGAGCCAAGUGGUGAAGCACAAUGAUUGCGCUUGUUACAACUGUUCUAAAACACGUUACCAUCGACAGUGUCUUCCUCUGCCUGAUUUUAAGGGUAAAACUCUUCAUCUGGGAGUCGAGAACAAGACCGAGGGUGUGUUUCACUCCAGAUGCCAGACAAGGAAAAGAAGCUAGAAGAGAUCAUCUUUUGGCUCAGGAAAGCCCUCUGACCACAUUUCACACUUCAGCAGAAAAAAAGCUACCCACAUUAGAUACCUGACAGCAAAGUGUGGCGUAGAGCCUCACUUCUCCAAUCCUGCCCCUUCCUUUCUUCCUUUCUUCCCUUCCUUCCUUCUGUCUUGGCAAGGGUGUGUUACUCAGCCUUGCUCCAUCAGUUCAAGUUUCUCAAUCUUGGGUCUUCUAUGGGCUGCCUUGCACCUCUUGUUGUAACUGUAAAUCAAAGGUGUAUGUCACUGCUACUGGCAACCUUGAAUUUCUUCUCCUUUUGCCUCCACCUCUGAAUGUUGAGAUUCCAGGAUUUGUGUGGCACUAGUUAUUGAACUCGGGGCUUUGUGAGUGCUUGCCAACCACUCUGCCAACUAAACUGCCGCCCCGGCUUUGAAACAUAUGCAUUUUGAAGGGACACAGCUAUUCAGUCCACAGCACCCCCUAUCCAACCAGAAUCCAACUCAUGAGAGAAGGAACUUCUGCUUUAUUCCUGUUGAGUUCCCAGGGUUUGGUGCAGUGUGAUGGAAUGGGGACUUACCUGAGAAGUAUUCCCAGGCUGUUACAAUGAUCUGUUGCUCUUUCUAACCAGAGGAAGCAGUUUUGCUCAUCUACUCCUUUAGGGUCUGAGUCUGGAACAUGGUGGCCAUUUCUGUGUGGGAUGUGCUUUCUGGAGAAGUGAGAGUUAUGCUGUACGAAUCAGAAUCAGCCGGGCUGCAGUGGCACACGGCUUUAAUCCCAGCAACUUGGGAGGCAGAGUUAGGCAGAUCUCUGCGAGUUCAAGGCCAGCCUGGUCUACAAGAGCUAGU